AUUGGUGAAUGUUCGGUAUGGGAGUCGAAAAAUGGUGACUUCCGAACGGGGAAAAAUUCAUAUCUUCUCAUUAUAAAUCCUAAAAGAAAUUCCAACAUAUAAUGAAAAAUAAUACUUUAAAUUAUUUUCAUUUAGUUACAAAAAUGUGAACACAAGAAAGUGAAAUUUCAAUUUAAGUAAUGUAUAGAAAUGAUUGCAUUUGAGAUAUUUUGAGUGGAAGUAACUGGAUCUUUUCUAGUGCUAGUUCUGCCAUAAGACUAUUAAAUCACAUAAACUCAAAUCAUAGAUUUUUUUGAAAUAAUAGCUUGAACAAAGACCCGGCUAAGUAUGUGACAAUAAAUUGACAUUCAGUAACUGUUCCAGGAUAUGCAAACUACUGAGGAAGAUUCUCUGUUAAAUGAAUUGACACGGUAUUUAUUCUUGGUGAAGGUCUCCAUAAUGGCUUGUUGGCAUUAUUAUUGAAGAAUGUUCAUCUACGCCUUCGAAGAAUUAUGCAGCUUCAAAUGAAUGAAGCAUCGCCACAUGGAGUUAGACAAUCUGUAAAUUUUCAUAAACGAUGGAUAGCAAGGAGUAGUCCUAUUGAGUGACCUCCAAGAUCUCCGGAUUUGACAGCGCCGGAUUUUUUCUUAGGGGGAUAUGUGAAAGAUUUUGUUUUUAAGUUACCUCCGACAAAUAAAAAAUAAAUAAAUUACAUAUUUUGUAAUUAUUAUUUUUUAUCUUCUUUUGUUAUUGCCAUUUUUCUUAAGUAGUAUGUACCUCAUGUAUUAUAAUGGUCGGUUGAAAAUAGAUAAUACAUUUGUAAUAUA
Long non-coding RNA from Anthonomus grandis grandis, 806 nucleotides. RefSeq lists it as uncharacterized. The transcript has 2 exons. The record is from RefSeq and is a predicted model, not a curated record. Lineage: Eukaryota; Metazoa; Arthropoda; Insecta; Coleoptera; Curculionidae.